This 253-nucleotide ribosomal RNA is filed under the name uncultured bacterium. RNAcentral describes it as "partial 16S ribosomal RNA". It matches the Rfam family "Bacterial small subunit ribosomal RNA", at positions 524 to 776 of the family's 1533-position model. The record is from RNAcentral.
UACAGAGGGUGCAAGCGUUGUUCGGAAUUAUUGGGCGUAAAGAGCUCGUAGGCGGCCUGUUGCGUCCGCUGUGAAAACCCGGGGCUUAACCCCGGGCUUGCAGUGGAUACGGGCAGGCUGGAGGCAGGCAGGGGAGAACGGAAUUCCCGGUGUAGCGGUGAAAUGCGCAGAUAUCGGGAGGAACACCGGUGGCGAAGGCGGUUCUCUGGGCCUGUACUGACGCUGAGGAGCGAAAGCGUGGGGAGCGAACAGG